UACGAAGGGUGCUAGCGUUGUUCGGAAUUACUGGGCGUAAAGGGCGCGUAGGCGGUUUGGCAAGUUGGAUGUGAAAGCCCAGGGCUCAACCCUGGAAUUGCAUUCAAGACUGCUUUACUUGAAUUCGGUAGAGGUUGGUGGAAUUCCCAGUGUAGAGGUGAAAUUCGUAGAGAUUGGGAAGAACACCCGUGGCGAAGGCGGCCAACUGGACCGACAUUGACGCUGAGGCGCGAAAGCGUGGGGAGCAAACAGG
RNAcentral lists this ribosomal RNA (253 nucleotides) under uncultured bacterium. RNAcentral describes it as "partial 16S ribosomal RNA". It matches the Rfam family "Bacterial small subunit ribosomal RNA", at positions 524 to 776 of the family's 1533-position model. The record is from RNAcentral.